Long non-coding RNA from Lagopus muta (rock ptarmigan), 690 nucleotides. RefSeq lists it as uncharacterized. The record is from RefSeq and is a predicted model, not a curated record. The transcript has 5 exons. NCBI's taxonomy places the organism in Eukaryota, Metazoa, Chordata, Aves, Galliformes, Phasianidae.
ACUGCCUCCUUGGAAGUAUUGGGAGUGAGUUCUGCCCUUUGGAAUGGGGUCUGUCAGCAGAAGGAGCAGCAACUGCACCUGGAGAUUGCUUCCUUUAGAGCGUGGGGUGAACCCUUGAAACUGGGACUGUGACCUUUCCUGUUUUUGGGGCAUCCUGACCACAUUGAAGUGCUGGCAGAUGUAAGGGCAGCACUGAUCUCUGGACUGUCUCCUGUGGAGCAGGGGGCUGUUAUGCACUGCUUCCAACCAUGCAGAGUUGUUUAAGGGCGUUCUGUGCACCCUUAGGUGUAAUAAAUCUUCGUCUUUAUAGAAAGCCAAGGAUUGUCCUCUUCUGGACUGCUGUACUCAGUAUCACCCCAGUGUGAUGAAGUGAAGCCCCUGCUCUGCUGAAUACUGGGACUGGCCCAGAGAGGCUCUGAUGGAUGUGGAUUAUCCUAGCCAGAGUACUUGGUACCAUUGGUGGUGAUCUCGUCCAACUGCCACACAAUGAACAGGAACAUCCACAGCCAGAUCUGGCUGACCCAGCCUCACCUUGGAAGGGACGGGGCAUCCAUCACAUGUCUGGGGACUUCACCUGACUGCCUCGACUUCUCAAAUACCACUGAGAGUGGCUCGGUGACUGCAGCGGUGAAUUCCCUCAGGGCUCUGGGACUCGUCUCAUCAGGACCCAAAGACUCCUGGAUGUCAGGU